Molecule: ribosomal RNA, 468 nt
Filed under: Triticum aestivum (bread wheat)
Lineage: Eukaryota; Viridiplantae; Streptophyta; Magnoliopsida; Poales; Poaceae
Description: partial small subunit ribosomal RNA
Source: RNAcentral
AUGGCGCCGUCAAUCUUGUGGCCGCCGCCGAUGGCCAAGGGUUUCCCUUGGUCCCGCUCCACACCCCGACCACGAGGCCAUAGACUAACCAUAGGGGCGCAAGCCAACGGAGAGGGACGGAGGUCUUCGUCAAAAGCAGGAGCGUCGGCCAACGGGGCGCCCCGCCAUCGCAGUACACGUCCGCCACAACCUCACCGCCCGCACGGUCGAAGUCGCGGACUAGCACCCACGCCGCCGCUUGCCGCAGAGCCGACGACAUUCGCCAAGCCCGGGGCCGCCGCCCCGGCAUCCACCAACCAGGCGCAUCACAUCCACCACCAGCCAACAACCCCGCCACGCCACCAGGUUCACCUCCAAAGCCACCGAACACACCCCGCGAAACAUAAGAGCGUCUGCGGCGAUCCCAUCGACCAGAUCCGGCCGGAAUCAAGGGCCAGCAGCCGCCCGAGCACCGGAUCCGGCGACUAG